Long non-coding RNA from Drosophila novamexicana, 582 nucleotides. RefSeq lists it as uncharacterized. The record is from RefSeq and is a predicted model, not a curated record. NCBI's taxonomy places the organism in Eukaryota, Metazoa, Arthropoda, Insecta, Diptera, Drosophilidae. The transcript has 3 exons.
AUUGAAAUCCAACACACACACACACACACACACACACAAAAGCAUAUUUGAGAAUUUAAAAGGAAACAGUUUUUGGGCCAAACUAAAAUUAACAACAUUCCCCACGGACACAGUUUUGAGUCACUUGAAAACCCGCUUGGAUCAGGAAUCACAGAAAACAGCUAAAAACUCAGUUUGGGAUAACGAAUUUUGCAUUAAAAAUCAACUAAAAACCAAAAAGAAAAUUUGAAAAACAUUUGGGAUAUUUUUUUUGGGAAAACUUAAGAACACAACAAUUGUGGAAAACAGCUGUACCAGAAAGAGUAAAAACUGUUAGUUGUUGAAAGCCCAUGCGCAAGAAAUUACAUUUCAGUCAGUUAUUUCGAAUAAUCAUGUGAAAAUGACAUGUUUUUUGGGUACUCAUUGAAGUCAAUAAGAAAGAAGCAAAGGCUAAAGAGCAAAGUUUUAAUAUAAUUUGAAUCAAAACAAGAAGAACAAAACUAAAUAAGACAAAACUAAAUAAGAAGAAAGGAACUUCAAAUGAUAAUAAAAUGCGAGCUUUCAAAAGAAACAAAUGAAGCAGUAAAAUAAACAAAAACAUAA